Molecule: ribosomal RNA, 445 nt
Filed under: uncultured bacterium
Lineage: Bacteria
Description: partial 16S ribosomal RNA
Rfam family: Bacterial small subunit ribosomal RNA
Source: RNAcentral
GUGAGGAAUAUUGGUCAAUGGGCGAGAGCCUGAACCAGCCAAGUCGCGUGAAGGAUGAAGGUUUUAUGAAUUGUAAACUUCUUUUGCAGGGGAAUAAAGUACGGUACGUGUACCGUUUUGUAUGUACUCUGCGAAUAAGGAUCGGCUAACUCCGUGCCAGCAGCCGCGGUAAUACGGAGGGUGCGAGCGUUAUCCGGAUUUAUUGGGUUUAAAGGGUGCGUAGGUGGUUUGAUAAGUCAGCGGUGAAAGUUUGCAGCUUAACUGUAAAAAUGCCGUUGAAACUGUCGGACUUGAGUGUAAAUGAGGUAGGCGGAAUGCGUGGUGUAGCGGUGAAAUGCAUAGAUAUCACGCAGAACUCCGAUUGCGAAGGCAGCUUACUAAGCUACAACUGACACUGAAGCACGAAAGCGUGGGGAUCAAACAGGAUUAGAUACCCUAGUAGUCC